This 336-nucleotide long non-coding RNA is filed under the name Populus tremula. Its description in RNAcentral is "long non-coding RNA (PTRE_LNC002468)". Lineage: Eukaryota; Viridiplantae; Streptophyta; Magnoliopsida; Malpighiales; Salicaceae. The record is from RNAcentral.
AACAAUCUAAAUAAUUAAAGAUGAGAGUGAUUCUUAAACAAAAGUUGAAUAAAAGAACUAUAACAUCAAAAUCAUGACAUGUCUGUCUCAAUCCAAAAAUGUGCAUAUUGGUUUACAUUUGAAAACAUAAUAAUUAUCUACUAGUUGUGAAUCUUACCCUGUUUUGGACGUCGAGGUGGGGGAACAAAAGCAUCUGCUAGAGUUAAUCAAUUUUCACUGAAGAAUAGAUGAGCCUUGUGAACCAUAAGCAUGCAUAGAAUCCGAUUGUCCCAGUUAGCACGAAAAAUGCAUACGAUGCGAUUAGCAUGUAUCCGAAGUACAAGGCCCCUGAAACCA